CAGCAGCACCAGCAGCAACCACAGCUUCUCGACCCAAUUAAUAGCAUUCUCAACCUCGGGGCCUGUGCUUGGGGACAAUGAUUGGGACUUGGGAUGAAUUAGUUGAUAGCCUUUAUCAAGCAAUCUGUCUGAGAAGUGUUUACAGAGCGGUGCAAAUAAGUUACUGGUUACUCAUAGUAGGUUGGACGUGCGAAUAGUUUAGAGAGAGGUGUAUUUUGUCUAGCAAACAUGCUUCUAAAUUAAAUAAGACUACAUGUGUUGAA
This 263-nucleotide unclassified non-coding RNA is filed under the name Hevea brasiliensis (rubber tree). The record is from RNAcentral. Lineage: Eukaryota; Viridiplantae; Streptophyta; Magnoliopsida; Malpighiales; Euphorbiaceae.